GACGAACGCUGGCGGCGUGCUUAACACAUGCAAGUCGAACGGUGAAGCUCCAGCUUGCUGGAGUGGAUCAGUGGCGAACGGGUGAGUAACACGUGAGCAACCUGCCCCUGACUCUGGAAUAAGCGCUGGAAACGGCGUCUAAUACUGGAUACGAGAAGGGUCCGCAUGGGCACUUUCUGGAAAGUUUUUCGGUUGGGGAUGGGCUCGCGGCCUAUCAGCUUGUUGGUGAGGUAAUGGCUCACCAAGGCGACGACGGGUAGCCGGCCUGAGAGGGCGACCGGCCACACCGGGACUGAGACACGGCCCAGACUCCUACGGGAGGCAGCAGUGGGGAAUAUUGCACAAUGGGCGAAAGCCUGAUGCAGCGACGCCGCGUGAGGGAUGACGGCCUUCGGGUUGUAAACCUCUUUCAGCAGGGAAGAAGCGAAAGUGACGGUACCUGCAGAAGAAGCACCGGCUAACUACGUG
This 468-nucleotide ribosomal RNA is filed under the name uncultured bacterium. Its description in RNAcentral is "partial 16S ribosomal RNA". It matches the Rfam family "Bacterial small subunit ribosomal RNA", at positions 28 to 507 of the family's 1533-position model. The record is from RNAcentral.